Molecule: ribosomal RNA, 561 nt
Filed under: Triticum aestivum (bread wheat)
Lineage: Eukaryota; Viridiplantae; Streptophyta; Magnoliopsida; Poales; Poaceae
Description: partial small subunit ribosomal RNA
Source: RNAcentral
GAGUUCAUAAACGGAUUAAACAUGCAGCAAAGGAUGUACAUCCAGUUGAUAGGAUUGGGUGGACUUCUCAAGACACCUAGCAUCAAAAUUAGACGUGUACUCUGCCUAGCCAUCGCUAAUUCAUAUGAUGCAGAGCAGGAUGCCUUUAUCAUCAAUGGGAGACCAUGUAGGAUCACAUUAGAAGAUGUAGCGCAUGUAACAGGCAUGCCCUGUCAUGGGAAGAAGCACGUCCCUUCAAAUCUUGAUGAUAAUAUGGAGUUGUGGAAGAAACUGAAAGACCGUAAUGACACCAAAAUAACUUUCAAAGGAUUGCUAGCCAAGAUGAAAGUCGACAGCAGACCAAAUUUUGUCAGGCCAUUUGUGUUGUACACCAUAGGCAGAUAUGUAUGCCGAACAAAAGAGGAGUAUGUGGAUAACAAAUAUAUUGGGACUGUUAGAAACAUUGAGACGAUAAAGGGCACAAAUCUUGGACAGCUAACGCUUGACUAUCUUAUGGAUAGCGUGAAGAAUUUUGUAAAUGGUGAGGCAAUUCUAGAGGGGAAUCUACCUCUGCUGCAGGUA